GAUGAACGCUGGCGGCGUGCCUAAUACAUGCAAGUCGAGCGGCAGCACGGUCUUCGGACUGGUGGCGAGCGGCGGACGGCUGAGUAACGCGUAGGAACGUACCCCAAAGUGAGGGAUAACUGCUCGAAAGAGUAGCUAAUACCGCAUGUGGUCUAAGGAUUAAAGCUUCGGCGCUUUGGGAACGGCCUGUGUAAGAUUAGCUAGUUGGUGAGGUAAUGGCUCACCAAGGCGAUGAUCUUUAGCUGGUCUGAGAGGAUGAUCAGCCACACUGGGACUGAGACACGGCCCAGACCCCUACGGGAGGCAGCAGUGGGGAAUAUUGGACAAUGGGCGCAAGCCUGAUCCAGCCAUGCCGCGUGAGUGAUGAAGGCCUUAGGGUUGUAAAGCUCUUUUAUCCGGGACGGUAAUGACGGUACCGGAGGAAUAAGCCCCGGCUAACUUCGUGCCAGCAGCCGCAGUAA
This 461-nucleotide ribosomal RNA is filed under the name uncultured bacterium. Its description in RNAcentral is "partial 16S ribosomal RNA". It matches the Rfam family "Bacterial small subunit ribosomal RNA", at positions 28 to 523 of the family's 1533-position model. The record is from RNAcentral.